Molecule: long non-coding RNA, 210 nt
Filed under: Lathyrus oleraceus (garden pea)
Lineage: Eukaryota; Viridiplantae; Streptophyta; Magnoliopsida; Fabales; Fabaceae
Description: Pisum sativum (pea) long non-coding RNA (PSAT_LNC021356)
Source: RNAcentral
UGAAUUCCCUGUAUUCGAAGCAGAGGAAGAUGACGUUGACGAGAUUCCUGACGAGAUUAUCCGUCUUCUUGAGCAUAAAAAGAAGAUCAUUCAGCUGCAUCUUGAGAAUCAGCAAACAGUCAAACUGGGGCAUUACAGUAAAAAAAAAAAGAGGGGUGAAAAACAAAAACAAAAACAAAAUCAAAAUCAAAAUCAAAAUCAAAAUCAAAA